AGCAGCCGCGGUAAUUCCAGCUCCAAUAGCGUAUAUUAAAGUUGCUGCAGUUAAAAAGCUCGUAGUUGAAUUUCGGGACUAAUAUGUUGGUCGUGCCUCGGUACGUACUGAUAUUUUUGGUUUCUCCCUUCUGACGAACCUUGAUGUCAUUAAUUUGGUGUCUUGGGAAAUCAGGACUGUUACUUUGAAAAAAUUAGAGUGUUUAAAGCAGGCUCACGCUUGAAUACAUUAGCAUGGAAUAAUGAAAUAGGACGUUUGAUUCUAUUUUGUUGGUUUCUAGGAUUGACGUAAUGAUUAAUAGGGAUAGUUGGGGGCAUUAGUAUUCAAUUGUCAGAGGUGAAAUUCUUGGAUUUAUUGAAGACUAACUACUGCGAAAGCAUUUGCCAAGGAUGUUUUCAUUAAUCAAGAACGAAAGUUAGGGGAUCGAAGACGAUCAGAUACCGUCGUAGUCUUAACCAUAAACUAUGCCGACUAGGGAUCGGGUGAUGUUAAUUUUUAAUGACUCAUUCGGCGCCUUACG
RNAcentral lists this ribosomal RNA (520 nucleotides) under uncultured Glomus. RNAcentral's name for it is "SSU rRNA". It matches the Rfam family "Eukaryotic small subunit ribosomal RNA", at positions 569 to 1092 of the family's 1831-position model. The record is from RNAcentral. Lineage: Eukaryota; Fungi; Glomeromycota; Glomeromycetes; Glomerales; Glomeraceae.